AAAAGUGGAAAAAGUUGGUAAAAAUGAGGUAUGGUGCUCAAAAGUGGCACCUGCUACUUAUAGACCUCUGCUGGGCUGUCAUGUUCGCUAGGCGAGCAGAAUGGCUCGCCUAGCGAGGGUCUAAUAUGGGCACAUAAGGCACCUGCGCCCAGAGAAACAGGGUCUGCUGAACUGUCAUGUUCGCCUAGCGAACAUACCUUCGCCUAGCGAAGGACACGCUUCAACCUUCGCCCCAGCGAGGUUGAGAGGUUUUGCUACUGGAAUGCUCGCUGGGGACUCGCUAGAGCUUCGCCUAGCGAGUGAGUGCUGGCUGCGCUUUUCACCAAAACAGAAUGAACUCGCUACCACCUUCGCCUUCAGCUCGCCUGGCGAAUUAAUUUGACAAUUUACUGGAGCUUUUCGCCUGGAGCUCGCCUAGUGAAGCAGUGCUUCGCCACAGCCUCGCCUAGCGAGCAGGCUGAUGAAAUGCUUGUAUUCUUUGGUUCCUUUGCCAAUUUUCUUGUGUCUUCAUUUUCAAUUAGUUCAUUCCUUUUUCCUGCACAAUAACACACAAAUCAAAGGCACCAAGCUUGUUUAUCAAUGUAAUGCAUUCCAUGUAAAACAAAUGUGG
This 610-nucleotide long non-coding RNA is filed under the name Lathyrus oleraceus (garden pea). Its description in RNAcentral is "Pisum sativum (pea) long non-coding RNA (PSAT_LNC004577)". Lineage: Eukaryota; Viridiplantae; Streptophyta; Magnoliopsida; Fabales; Fabaceae. The record is from RNAcentral.